This 72-nucleotide transfer RNA is filed under the name Candidatus Moranbacteria bacterium RIFCSPHIGHO2_01_FULL_55_24. RNAcentral describes it as "tRNA-Asn". It matches the Rfam family "tRNA". Rfam says of the family: Transfer RNA (tRNA) molecules are approximately 80 nucleotides in length. Their secondary structure includes four short double-helical elements and three loops (D, anti-codon, and T loops). The record is from RNAcentral. RNAcentral also lists the same sequence under 1 other name. Lineage: Bacteria; Candidatus Moraniibacteriota.
UCCGGCGUAGCUCAGUGGUAGAGCAGGUGGCUGUUAACCACUUGGUCGUAGGUUCGAAUCCUACCGCCGGAG